Long non-coding RNA from Gasterosteus aculeatus aculeatus (three-spined stickleback), 573 nucleotides. Lineage: Eukaryota; Metazoa; Chordata; Actinopteri; Perciformes; Gasterosteidae. The record is from Ensembl.
GGGCAAUAAAGUCUAUGAUAAAUAAAUAAACAAAUAAAUAAAUAGACGUGACUCUCUAGGUCGCCAGCCUUUACACCUGCUUACACACACACACGAUUGACGUGAACGUCCUUCUGAUCCCGCCUGAAAAGUGGAGGCAGUGGCCCCAACAUCUCCCUCACGUCGGAUUCAAACGCAAAGUGGACCUCGAAAACAAGCCGAGAAGAGGAAGCGUAGUGAGGGUAACUCCUCUGAUUCCUCUUCCUCUCCAAGCUCGGAGAAUGGAAAGAAGAAGAAGAAGAUGAAGAAGUCAAAGAAGAAGAAGGGAAAGAAAGUAACAACGGAGAGAGGAAACAAAAAGAUCAGACGGAGCCGUGUUUCAAGGGCACGUGGUCCAGAUGAGGUAAUUGCACGUUACCGGAAAGUGUUGAAGGUCUACAAGAAGAAGAAUACCGUCACUGCUGCUUGCAGAAUAGUGGGAGUGAAUUGCAAUACAAUUGCCUUGAAUGCACCAAUUGCAGAGCUUUCCAUUGCUGCACCUGAAAAGUUUGCGGAGUUUAAAGAUCAGCAUACAACAAAGCACAGGUUUUGUAG